UGUGCUGGGAACAUUCCGGAGCGGUUACCCAUCCCCAGUGCGCGGGUACCCGCCCAGUUUGGUCUGGCGUCUCGCUGUCUGUGUCUGGCUGUCUGGUGUCUCGUUUUGUGAUUGGCUGACCGUUGAUCGGUCAGUCACGUGAUCGUAUCGGACGGUCAGGGCCGCGUCGUGCUGGCCGGUCGGUCGGGGGGAGUCGGUCGGUCACCGCUGAGCCAGCCGUCGGUAUGGUGCUGUUGCUAAAGUAAAAUAUACCGCACCCGGUUUAACAGAGUGUCUCAAGAUACAACAGUGGCGACGGGGAUGAGAUCCCACGGCAAGAUGAGUGAUUCAGAUGAGAGGAAGCCGGCAACAGGUAUCGCAACAAUGCACCAGCCCACGGUAUGUCUCACGUCCGCCAUUGGCGAAUUUGAUGAACGUCAAGGCACCUGGAGGGAUUACAUUGAACGAUUUGAGUUCUUUUGCGAGGCUCAGGGCAUUUCAGAGGAUGAUAGAAGGAGAGCACUUCUCUUGGCUGGUAUUGGGCAAACUGCGUAUCAAAGAGUCAAAACCAUUCUGGCACCCACCCGACCCUCUGAGAUGUCAUAUAGAGAUAUUGUCAUGGCCGUGCAAGAUCAUGUGGAUCCGAAGCAGUCUGUUAUCGUUAGCCGUUUCCGGUUCCAUCAAAAAUGUCAAGGAUCAGAACAGGGGAUAAAGGAGUUUGUGGCUGACUUGAAAGUCAUGGCCGAUCCAUGCGACUUUGGAUCAAGUAGAGAUGAUAUGUUACGCGACAGAUUUGUGUGUGGACUCGCUGAUCAGGCGUUGCAGAAGCGGUUGUUGACCGAGGAAGAUACUCUGACGUUCCAACAGGCGCAGCGGAUCGCACUGGCAGCAGAGACGGCGACGAAGAGCGCAAGACAGCUGGCUGCCCAGUCAUCCGAUCUAGCGGCGCAGGACGUUCACAGAGUUGGAUCUGCACGACAGGUGAAAGGGUCACCAUCCAAUCGGUGGUGAAGACUACAGGCGGCGACGACAGCCUUGAACUUCGGCGAAGCAGCGCCAGGCUUCGGACGUACACGGGUGAGCCCAUCCCGGUCGAAGGGGAGUUCAGUGCCGUCAUCCAUUACGGUGAGCAGCACCUGGAGCUUCCCGUCGUCGUGGUCGACACUGCAGGACCCAAUCUUCUGGGAAGGGACUGGAUGAAGUUCCUUCAGCUCGACUGGCAAACCAUCAAACAGGUCAGAGGUGAUCCUGGGCGGGGACAGUCAAUGGGUGCAGAGCUGCAGAAAAAGUACCGUGAUGUGUUUUCUGCUGAUCUAGGGUGCCUGAAAGACGUGGAGGUGAAGUUUGACGUCAAUGAGGAUGCAAAACCAUGUUUCUAUCGCCCACGGAACAUUCCCUAUGCCUUCAGGAAACGCGUGGAGGAGCAGCUGGACGCAGAGGUCGAGGCUGGGGUCCUCGAGCCAGUGCGCACUGCGGACUGGGCGUGCCAAAUCGUCCCGAUAGUGAAGCCCGACGCGUGAAAUGGAAAAGCUGCUGGCUGGCGUGCCAGGAGUCUUCAUCUUCCUCGACGACAUCCUGGUCUCUGGACGGGCUGAAGACGAGCUCGUGUCCCGUCUGGAGCAAGUGCUGCAACGACUCCAGGACUCCGGACUUCGGGGCGACGCCGCACGCAACGACCGGGGAGUCUCCUGGCAAGCUGCUCAUCGGAUACAAGCCGGUCACCAGGUUCGAUAAACUGAAGCCGGACCUUCAAGGCUGCAUCGGCGCCCAGUCUGGAGACUGCUGAGGAGCUGGAGCACGGUGGCGACAUCUGCGGCGCCGAUGUCCCCGAUCGUCUGGCCGGCCGUUCCGCUACUGCUCCCGCUGCUGCUGCGGAGCCGGCUGAACCGCCUGCUGAGCGUCUGGAGUCGGCCAUCGGCGGCGCCGCGUCGACCUCUCCUGCUCGGCCGUCGACACUGAGACGAGAUGAGAGCGCCGGUCGCGUCUUCCCGGAGCGUCACGUGCCAGACGCUGCGCUACAGCGAGUGGAGCCCGGUGUCGUCUCCUCUCGAUACUCCCCGCCGCGAUUCGACCGCGGCUCACUAUCUGGUGAACCAUCGCCGGAGCGUCCGUCCGUGAGCGCGAAUGUCCCCAGGCAGAUGGGCGUUGACGCUGACGCUCCACGACGAUACCCGCUUAGAAAUAGACGGCCUGUGGUGCGCUACUAGAGGUCAUAAUGUAUCUGUCGAAGUUGAUUUUGUUUAAUUGCAAGGCUAACUCUUGAUUUAAAUGGGAGGGUGUUGUGUGCUGGGAACAUUCCGGAGCGGUUACCCAUCCCCAGUGCGCGGGUACCCGCCCAGUUUGGUCUGGCGUCUCGCUGUCUGUGUCUGGCUGUCUGGUGUCUCGUUUUGUGAUUGGCUGACCGUUGAUCGGUCAGUCACGUGAUCGUAUCGGACGGUCAGGGCCGCGUCGUGCUGGCCGGUCGGUCGGGGGGAGUCGGUCGGUCACCGCUGAGCCAGCCGUCGGUAUGGUGCUGUUGCUAAAGUAAAAUAUACCGCACCCGGUUUAA
This 2527-nucleotide unclassified non-coding RNA is filed under the name Amphibalanus amphitrite. RNAcentral describes it as "uncharacterized LOC122376845, transcript variant X2". Lineage: Eukaryota; Metazoa; Arthropoda; Thecostraca; Balanomorpha; Balanidae. The record is from RNAcentral.